RNAcentral lists this ribosomal RNA (540 nucleotides) under uncultured bacterium. RNAcentral's name for it is "bacterial SSU rRNA". It matches the Rfam family "Bacterial small subunit ribosomal RNA", at positions 772 to 1317 of the family's 1533-position model. The record is from RNAcentral.
ACUCAAUAGAUACCCGGGUAGUCCACGCCCUAAACGAUGUCUACUAGUUGUCGGGUCUUAAUUGACUUGGUAAACGCAGCUAAACGCGUGAAGUAGACCGCCUGGGGAGUACGGUCGCAAGAUUAAAACUCAAAGGAAUUGACGGGGACCCGCACAAGCGGUGGAUGAUGUGGAUUAAUUCGAUGCAACGCGAAAAACCUUACCUACCCUUGACAUGGAUGGAAUCCCUGAGAGAUCGGGGAGUGCUCGAAAGAGAACCAUUACACAGGUGCUGCAUGGCUGUCGUCAGCUCGUGUCGUGAGAUGUUGGGUUAAGUCCCGCAACGAGCGCAACCCUUGUCAUUAGUUGCUACGAAAGGGCACUCUAAUGAGACUGCCGGUGACAAACCGGAGGAAGGUGGGGAUGACGUCAAGUCCUCAUGGCCCUUAUGGGUAGGGCUUCACACGUCAUACAAUGGUACAUACAGAGGGCCGCCAACCCGCGAGGGGAGCUAAUCCCAGAAAGUGUAUCGUAGUCCGGAUUGUAGUCUGCAACUCGACU